RNAcentral lists this ribosomal RNA (491 nucleotides) under uncultured bacterium. RNAcentral describes it as "partial 16S ribosomal RNA". It matches the Rfam family "Bacterial small subunit ribosomal RNA", at positions 28 to 507 of the family's 1533-position model. The record is from RNAcentral.
GAUGAACGCUGGCUACAGGCUUAACACAUGCAAGUCGAGGGGAAACGACGGGGAAGCUUGCUUCCCCGGGCGUCGACCGGCGCACGGGUGAGUAACGCGUAUCCAACCUGCCUCUGACUGAGGGAUAACCCGUCGAAAGUCGGCCUAAUACCUCAUGGCAUCGUCUGCGGGCAUCCAACGACGAUUAAAGAUUUCAUCGGUCAGGGAUGGGGAUGCGUCUGAUUAGCUAGUUGGCGGGGUAACGGCCCACCAAGGCGACGAUCAGUAGGGGUUCUGAGAGGAAGGUCCCCCACAUUGGAACUGAGACACGGUCCAAACUCCUACGGGAGGCAGCAGUGAGGAAUAUUGGUCAAUGGGCGAGAGCCUGAACCAGCCAAGUAGCGUGCAGGAUGACGGCCCUAUGGGUUGUAAACUGCUUUUAUGCGGGGAGAAAGUGAGGGACGUGUCCUUCAUUGCAGGUACCGCAUGAAUAAGGACCGGCUAAUUCCGUG